CCAUUUCCUUCUACAAAUCUCACAAAAAUCACAACCAAACCUCCAUAGAUUCAACCAAAACUUCACAUACUCUUAGCUCUACACUUGGACAACACAUUAAGCUGAAAAGGGGAGGAGCUUUCACGGUUUCUUCAGGCUUCAAAAGGACCGAAUCUCUGUCUUAAACAUCAACUAAGAGUUAGAUUGGAAGAUUUUGGUAAAGCCGACUAGAUUAUACUUUUGAUUAGAAUCGGGGCUGUAAAUGUGUAGUCGACUUUUAAUGGUUGCAUUUUGGAACUUGAUAUAUCUUUUGUGAAUAUGAUGUAAGAUUUAAAUAUUUAGUUAAGGAAGCGACUUUUCUUUA
Molecule: non-coding RNA, 343 nt
Organism: Coffea arabica (coffee)
Lineage: Eukaryota; Viridiplantae; Streptophyta; Magnoliopsida; Gentianales; Rubiaceae
Source: RefSeq, a predicted model, not a curated record